Molecule: ribosomal RNA, 207 nt
Filed under: uncultured bacterium
Lineage: Bacteria
Description: partial 16S ribosomal RNA
Rfam family: Bacterial small subunit ribosomal RNA
Source: RNAcentral
CUCGUAGGCGGCCAACUAAGUCCGACGUGAAAUCCCCAGGCUUAACCUGGGAACUGCGUCGGAUACUGGAUGGCUUGAAUCCGGGAGAGGGAUGCGGAAUUCCAGGUAUAGCGGUGAAAUGCGUAGAUAUCUGGAGGAACACCGGUGGCGAAGGCGGCAUCCUGGACCGGCAUUGACGCUGAUGAGCGAAAGCCAGGGGAGCAAACG